GACGAACGCUGGCGGCGUGCUUAACACGUGCAAGUCGAACGGAAAGGCCCUGCUUGCAGGGUGCUCGAGUGGCGAACGGGUGAGUAACACGUGGGCGAUCUGCCCCUUACUUUGGGAUAAGCCUGGGAAACUGGGUCUAAUACUGGAUAGGACCAUGCUGUAGGUGGUGUGGUGGAAAGAUUAGUUUCGGUAAGGGAUGAGCUCGCGGCCUAUCAGCUUGUUGGUGGGGUAAUGGCCUACCAAGGCGUCGACGGGUAGCCGGCCUGAGAGGGUGGACGGCCACAUUGGGACUGAGAUACGGCCCAGACUCCUACGGGAGGCAGCAGUGGGGAAUAUUGCACAAUGGGCGCAAGCCUGAUGCAGCGACGCCGCGUGGGGGAUGACGGCCUUCGGGUUGUAAACUCCUUUCAGCCAUGACGAAGCCCUUGUGGUGACGGUAGUGGUAGAAGAAGCACCGGCUAACUACGUG
This 469-nucleotide ribosomal RNA is filed under the name uncultured bacterium. RNAcentral's name for it is "partial 16S ribosomal RNA". It matches the Rfam family "Bacterial small subunit ribosomal RNA", at positions 28 to 507 of the family's 1533-position model. The record is from RNAcentral.